Molecule: transfer RNA, 71 nt
Filed under: Bemisia tabaci
Lineage: Eukaryota; Metazoa; Arthropoda; Insecta; Hemiptera; Aleyrodidae
Description: tRNA-Asp
Source: RNAcentral
AAAGAUUUAGUUAAAAUAACACAAUAAUAUUAAUUUGUCAGAUUAAAAUUAGAUUAUAAAUCUAGUCUUUA